GCUCCGUGUCACCAGCUGAGGGGACACUGUCCCUUCACCCAGGUCACUGGUGGGAACACUGACCAGGACUGGACCCAGGACUGACCCUGAGGAGCACCACGAGUUCCUGACCUCCAGCUGGACUCUCCCUGACCACGACCUCUCAGCUCUGUGUUCUGAGCACCCCCUCCCCCUGAGGGUGCCGUGGGAGAUGGGGUCAGAACCCUCACUGAAGCCACGGUGGGCACCAUCCCCUGCCCACCCACCCACCCGUGUCACAGCCGUGUCACUGCAGGAGCCAUCAGCUUGCCCAGAUGUGGCUCCCCCCAUGCUGACCACUUCCAGGUUCCUUUUCCUCCAGGAUGGAGUCCUCAGGCACCUCACCUUUCUCCAGGACAUUUCAGAGAUGAUGGAGAGUGGCCCAGGAAUGACUUCUGCCAGCUCCUCCUGGAUGCAUCCCACCAGGACCCAUGGACUUGUGG
This is a long non-coding RNA of Calypte anna (Anna's hummingbird), 461 nucleotides long. RefSeq lists it as uncharacterized. The record is from RefSeq and is a predicted model, not a curated record. The transcript has 3 exons. Lineage: Eukaryota; Metazoa; Chordata; Aves; Apodiformes; Trochilidae.